Molecule: unclassified non-coding RNA, 277 nt
Filed under: Hevea brasiliensis (rubber tree)
Lineage: Eukaryota; Viridiplantae; Streptophyta; Magnoliopsida; Malpighiales; Euphorbiaceae
Source: RNAcentral
AAGACACUUGCAGAACAGAUGAGAUUAUCCAAUAUCAAUGACUAAUACUCCCUCAGUUUCAAUUUGUUUGCUUUUUAGUCCGUUAAAAAGGAACUCUCUAUUUCAAUUUCCCCCACGACAUGUUUAAGAUCGCAAAAUUAAAGGACAUCAUACGUAUCUUUAGUUUAGGAUCACAAGAUUCAAGGACAUUUUGAUACAUUCUACAUAUCUUUACUUUGAAACCAGAAGAUUCAAAAGUUUUCUUUACUUCUUUAACUCUGUGUCAAGUCAAAACCAG